UAUGCGAGUGUUUGGGUGUCAAGCCCGAGCGCGUAAUGAAAGUGAACGGAGGUGGGAACGGCGCACCAUCGACCGAUCCUGAAGUUUACGGAAGGAUUUGAGUAAGAGCAUGGCUGUUGGGACCCGAAAGAUGGUGAACUAUGCUUGAAUAGGGUGAAGCCAGAGGAAACUCUGGUGGAGGCUCGCAGCGGUUCUGACGUGCAAAUCGAUCGUCAAAUUUGGGCAUAGGGGCGAAAGACUAAUCGAACUAUCUAGUAGCUGGUUCCUGCCGAAGUUUCCCUCAGGAUAGCAGUAACGUUUCAGUUUUAUGAGGUAAAGCGAAUGAUUAGAGGCAUGGGGGUUGAAACAACCUUCACCUAUUCUCAAACUUUAAAUAUGUAAGAAGCCUUGUUACUUAAUUGAACGCGGGCAUUUGAAUGAAACGUUAUUAGUGGGCCAUUUUUGGUAAGCAGAACUGGCGAUGCGGGAUGAACCGAACGAGGGGUUACGGUGCCGGAGUACACGCUCAUCAGACACCACAAAAGGUGUUGGUUCAUCUAGACAGCAGGACGGUGGCCAUGGAAGUCGGAAUCCGCUAAGGAGUGUGUAACAACUCACCUGCCGAAUGAACUAGCCCUGAAAAUGGAUGGCGCUAAGCGUGUCACCUAUCCCCUCCGCCGGGGCAAAAUUUACGCCCCGGCGAGUAGGC
Molecule: ribosomal RNA, 688 nt
Filed under: Bipolaris sp. ES50
Lineage: Eukaryota; Fungi; Ascomycota; Dothideomycetes; Pleosporales; Pleosporaceae
Description: LSU rRNA
Rfam family: Eukaryotic large subunit ribosomal RNA
Source: RNAcentral